AAUUAAAAAACAUAAUUUUAAUUGUUUUCAAAACAAUUUCGAGCGGUCGGAAGUUUUUAUUUUGCUUUUUCAAGAUUUGUUGUUACUUUGUGAGUGAAUUUAACGUUAAAUAAAAAUUAUGAGAUUUAAAGAGCGUUCUUCUCAUCCGAUAUUGGCGCAAAUAGAGGCAUUGAUAAACGUUUUGGGUUAAAAGCUAGCGAAACAAAAGGAUUAAUCGAAUCUCAACAUGUUCAAUAAGAGAACAAGGAUAUUAAAAAAAUAUAGGAACUAAAUUCUCUUGUCAGUUAAGAUCCAUUCCCGGUGAGAUAUUUAGGACAUGUUAACAUAUAUUUAUGUAUGAUAUAUCUAUCUACAACGUUUUUAUUGAUGUUCUAUUUUAACAGGGCAUGAAGGUAAUUUAUUUGUAUCUCAAAUUCACCAACAAAAAAAUUAUUUUGAAUUAAAUACAUCAAAUCAUUAACAAUUUAGGUAUUGCAAGUUAGAUUGAUGUUGUUGGAAUGUAUUUAUUGAUGCAGAGGUGACUGUAUCUAUGGUAAAGGGUGUGCAUACUGGUACAGGGGUGGCAGGCAGUGCCAGAGUAUUGACUAAACUGACAUUAUGUUGGCUAAAGGCUGCAUACUCAGUUUAAAAUAAAUGAACAAAAUUUAGGCAUAACCUAUUUUAUUAUAUUUAAGGAACUACAACAGAUUGAAAAUACUAAUCCACAUCAACAGAAUAUUGUAAGGAGAAUUUAUAGCCUACUCGGAAAAUGUAUCAGUAUUGGAACAAUCGCAAACAUACAGCAUUGCAUCAAGAAUCACCUAUUUUGCAGUCAUCAUCCUCUAACUAAAUGCAAGUGACUUCUACUUAUUGUGAUGCUACUACUAGUAGCUCCAGCCACAGUAGGUCUCACAUGUUAGUCAAGAGAUUGGGUUGAUAUGUGUUUAUUCAGGUCAAAGUACCUAUUCAUUGAACCACCAUAUUAGGGACAUUGAUUUGUGUAUAAUGCUGUUACUUGUAAAUAAAAACAUUUUGUUGCAUGUAUUGUAAACAUUGUAUUUUACCUAACCUUGUUUUUAAAUAAAUUUAUUAUUUUUUUCAGCACCUCAACACCUGACCUGCUAUUUCACCACUUUUACAAUGAAAAGCAGAGUGUACUCAAAUUACUGAUAGAAUUUUGUGGAUAGAGGAACUGCAGGUGAAGAUUCAGGGUGUUCAUAUGUGUGUCGUCCAAAGCAUUUUUGAACACAGUACCAUAUAUAACUUAAUGAAACUUACAACCAUGGGGGAAUGAAUAGUCGACAAUCUGCAAGAAGGAUGAACUGUUGGUGGAAUUAGCACAUGCAGCUAGCAAUUUUAAACCUGUAUUUCCACAUAAGUUACUGAUGCAAACAAAUUUCAAUUAUUGUAUAUAACUAUUGAAUAAAACUAUAAUAAAACUAUUUUUAUAAAUCAUUAA
Long non-coding RNA from Bombyx mori (domestic silkworm), 1438 nucleotides. RefSeq lists it as uncharacterized. Lineage: Eukaryota; Metazoa; Arthropoda; Insecta; Lepidoptera; Bombycidae. The transcript is spliced from 3 exons. The record is from RefSeq and is a predicted model, not a curated record.